This 253-nucleotide ribosomal RNA is filed under the name uncultured bacterium. RNAcentral describes it as "partial 16S ribosomal RNA". It matches the Rfam family "Bacterial small subunit ribosomal RNA", at positions 524 to 776 of the family's 1533-position model. The record is from RNAcentral.
UACGAAGGGUGCAAACGUUGCUCGGAAUUAUUGGGCGUAAAGCGCACGUAGGCGGCUCUGUAUGUUGGAUGUGAAAACCCUCGGCUCAACCAAGGAAGUGCAUCCAAAACUGCGGAGCUUGAGUACUUAAGAGGAUCGCGGAAUUCCCGGUGUAGAGGUGAAAUUCGUAGAUAUCAGGAGGAACACCGGUGGCGAAGGCGGGUCUCUGGGCAGUAACUGACGCUGAGGAGCGAAAGCGUGGGGAGCGAACAGG